Molecule: ribosomal RNA, 253 nt
Filed under: uncultured bacterium
Lineage: Bacteria
Description: partial 16S ribosomal RNA
Rfam family: Bacterial small subunit ribosomal RNA
Source: RNAcentral
UACAGAGGAGCCAAGCAUUGUCCGGAUUGACUGGGCGUAAAGCGCACGCAGGCGGUUGCGCGCGUGGGGUGUGAAAUCUGGCCGCUUAACGGCCAGGCGCCAUCCCAUACGGCGCGACUGGAGUGAUGCAGAGGUCGAUGGAAUUGCCGGUGUAGUGGUGAAAUGCGUAGAGAUCGGCAGGAACACCCAGGGGGAAACCAGUCGACUGGGCAUCUACUGACGCUGAGGUGCGAGAGCGUGGGGAGCGAACCGG